RNAcentral lists this ribosomal RNA (368 nucleotides) under uncultured organism. Its description in RNAcentral is "partial 16S ribosomal RNA". It matches the Rfam family "Bacterial small subunit ribosomal RNA", at positions 527 to 896 of the family's 1533-position model. The record is from RNAcentral.
GGAGGGUGCAAGCGUUAUCCGGAAUUAUUGGGUUUAAAGGGUGCGUAGGCGGGAUGAUAAGUCAGUGGUGAAAUCUUACAGCUUAACUGUAAAACUGCCAUUGAUGCUAUCGUUCUUGAAUACAAUUGAAGUGGGCGGAAUGUGUCAUGUAGCGGUGAAAUGCUUAGAUAUGACACAGAACACCUAUUGCGAAGGCAGCUCACUAAGUUGUUAUUGACGCUGAGGCACGAAAGCGUGGGGAGCGAACAGGAUUAGAUACCCUGGUAGUCCACGCCCGUAAACGAUGAUUACUCGGUAUUGGCGAUACACUGUCAGUACCCAAGCGAAAGUUUUAAGUAAUCCACCUGGGAAGUACGUCGGCAACGAUG